Molecule: ribosomal RNA, 356 nt
Filed under: Anisopygia sp. MNHN PG42
Lineage: Eukaryota; Metazoa; Arthropoda; Insecta; Blattodea; Ectobiidae
Description: partial 12S ribosomal RNA
Source: RNAcentral
UAAUUUAUUUAAAUUUUUUUUACUUUGUUAGUAUUAGUUAUGUUCUUGAAAUUUAAAGUAUUUGGCGGUAUUAUAGUCUUUUUAGAGGAAUCUGUUUCAUAAUUGAUAUUCCACAUUGAACCUUACUUAUUUUAAUUAAUUUGUAUAUCGUUGUUGUUUAAUUUUUUUAGAAUUUAAUUAUUAUUUUUUAAUUAUAAUGUAUUUCAGAUCAAGGUGCAGUUUAUAAAUAAGUGUAAAAAUGGAUUACAAUACAUUUUAUGUAUUAUGAAUUAUUAAUUUAAUUAAUUGAAUAUGAAGGUGGAUUUAAUAGUAAUUUUUUGUAGACUGUAAAUUUGAAUUUUAGCUCUAUAAUAUGU